GAAAAUCACAAGAUUAGGAAGGAAUUAAGGGCCUAAAUUGAUGCAUGAGCUCCAAUCUUUAACUAUCUAAGCUUGUUCAACACAAGGCGUUAAGGAAGAAAGUUCGAGUCAAGUGAAGCAACAAGGGGAUCAAGACCGAGGUAAAUCUCAUGUCUAGCUAUCAAGCUCCGCCCGGUUCGAACACGCCUCAAGCCCGUCAAGCGUUCCGCAUUUUGUAAAAGUCAAUGUUUAAUACUUUGUCACUUAUGUUUUCGUCUAGUAGUUAAACC
Molecule: long non-coding RNA, 269 nt
Organism: Helianthus annuus (common sunflower)
Lineage: Eukaryota; Viridiplantae; Streptophyta; Magnoliopsida; Asterales; Asteraceae
Exons: 3
Source: RefSeq, a predicted model, not a curated record